This is a small nuclear RNA of Phascolarctos cinereus (koala), 106 nucleotides long. NCBI's taxonomy places the organism in Eukaryota, Metazoa, Chordata, Mammalia, Diprotodontia, Phascolarctidae. The record is from Ensembl.
AUGCUUGCUUCACCAGCCCACAUACUGAAAUGAGAUGAUAUGGAGAAGAUCAGUAUGGUCUCUGUGCAAGGAUGACAUGCAAACCUGUGCAUUAUUGUAUAUUGUU